RNAcentral lists this ribosomal RNA (204 nucleotides) under uncultured Allobrachymonas sp. RNAcentral describes it as "uncultured Brachymonas sp. partial 16S ribosomal RNA". It matches the Rfam family "Bacterial small subunit ribosomal RNA", at positions 1176 to 1382 of the family's 1533-position model. Lineage: Bacteria; Pseudomonadati; Pseudomonadota; Betaproteobacteria; Burkholderiales; Comamonadaceae. The record is from RNAcentral.
GGGAUGACGUCAAGUCCUCAUGGCCCUUAUAGUGGGCUACACACGUCAUACAAUGGCCGGUACAGAGGGUAGCCAACCCGCAGGGGGAGCCAAUCCCACAAAGCCGGUCGUAGUCCGGAUCGCAGUCUGCAACUCGACUGCGUGAAGUCGGAAUCGCUAGUAAUCGCGGAUCAGCAUGUCGCGGUGAAUACGUUCCCGGGUCUU